Neofelis nebulosa (Clouded leopard) is the source of this 1400-nucleotide long non-coding RNA. RefSeq lists it as uncharacterized. The record is from RefSeq and is a predicted model, not a curated record. The transcript is spliced from 2 exons. Lineage: Eukaryota; Metazoa; Chordata; Mammalia; Carnivora; Felidae.
AAAAAAAGAAGCAGCAGAGUUAGACCCACAGGAGAUCCAGAUUCUGUCAUUAACAGCAGUUCCGGUCACGUCCAACUACAUCACAGCAUCUCCUGGGCCAAGCCCGACACGAAGCCCACUGGCCUGGCCCGCCUCACUGGACUGAAGGGUGCAAAUGAACAGGUCACCCACCCACCCUCCUGUCCUCUGAGCAGCCUUCGAUGCCCUGGGGCCCAGUCUGGUGCUCUGGUGGGGGGUCAGAACACAUGGCCUUUACCUGGACAGGGCACUGUCCGUGCAGGACUGUGUAACUUUUGACUGUCCAGCUGACCCCCCAACCGUUCACCACUACACUUCACGUGUCUGGAACAGGUUUUCCCAAAUCAUCCGGAGCAAGGACAGCUGCCUUUGUUAAUAUUUCUUGUUCUCAUGGACCAACACCUUCGUAGAAUGCAACAGGGUUUAAUUACUAGAAAGAUGAAACUAACAAAGAUUGCCAUGUUUUCAUUAUUAGAAUAAACAGACCGCUAUAAAGUUUGCAAGCGCACACGACCUCCACGCUCACGCCCCGUGACACAGGAACUGGGCCCUGAACCAGGACCCCGGCAACCCCUCCCAUCCUGGCCCCCGCCCGAGUGUCCAGGGGAGCGGCUGCUCAGGGAUGCAGAUCCCGCAAGGCCCACCCUGCCCCCAUUCGUCCGAGCUCUCCGCGGCAGCCACUCGGAGACCCUCUGCCCUCCCGGCUCUCUCCCAGAACAGCUUCGUGCGUGCUGUUCCCACCUCUUGUUGCCUGGCUGGGUCCCCUGUGCGACUACCCCUACCGGGUGACAACCACCUCCCGCUCGCGCCCGGGACCCGGCCCGUCUGCUGCACGGGGUGGGGAGGGUCCCGUCUGGCUCUGUGGGCACCGGGGGACCCGGCCGGGAGAAGCCUCACAGACUCCGGGUCGGGAGAAGCAUGCCCGGAGCAGUCCCCUGUCACUCAGCAACCCGUUGUGUGCGGGUUCCGAACCGAACCUCCUCACUAGCGCCCUUGCUCCCCGGGUCUGGACAUGGCCCCCCCAGCCCCCCAGAGCCAUGACGAGAGCGGCGGCGGCUCCACGGACCUGGAAGACACCGGCAGACUGGCGCACGUUCGCGGCCCUCUUCCUUCUCACUCUGCUCUACAGCGGCUUCGUCACCUUCAUCAAAAUGAAGUAGCCCCAGGAAAGCGGAGGUCCUGCACCCGCAGAGAAGGGAGGCUGGGACUCUGGCCUGUGUGUGGCGCCCCGGCCCCGCUUCGCCUGCCCCAUGCUCGUCUCCGUCCACCUGUGCCCAGGGCUCGGCCGCCCAACCCAGCCCAUGCUUCCUGAACCAGCGGCCCCGACUGUGGGCCCUCGCCUUCCCACCUGCCAGCCGGCCCCAUAAACAACCUUGCUCACA